Molecule: ribosomal RNA, 253 nt
Filed under: uncultured bacterium
Lineage: Bacteria
Description: partial 16S ribosomal RNA
Rfam family: Bacterial small subunit ribosomal RNA
Source: RNAcentral
UACGUAGGGUGCAAGCGUUAAUCGGAAUUACUGGGCGUAAAGCGUCCGCAGGUGGCAGUUCAAGUCUGCUGUCAAAGACCGGGGCUUAACUUCGGAAAGGCAGUGGAAACUGAACAGCUAGAGUAUGGUAGGGGCAGAGGGAAUUCCUGGUGUAGCGGUGAAAUGCGUAGAGAUCAGGAAGAACAUCGGUGGCGAAGGCGCUCUGCUGGACCAUAACUGACACUCAGGGACGAAAGCUAGGGGAGCGAAUGGG